Molecule: unclassified non-coding RNA, 387 nt
Filed under: soil metagenome
Description: partial contains 5.8S ribosomal RNA, internal transcribed spacer 2, and large subunit ribosomal RNA
Rfam family: 5.8S ribosomal RNA (bases 1-120)
Source: RNAcentral
GAUGAAGAACGCAGCGAAAUGCGAUAAGUAAUGUGAAUUGCAGAAUUCAGUGAAUCAUCGAAUCUUUGAACGCACCUUGCACCCUUUGGCAUUCCGAAGGGUAUGCUCGUUUGAGUGUCAAUGUACUCUCACACUCUCCGAUCCUAUGGAUUCGGGGAGCGGUGGACUUGGGUGUUGCUGCCUUUCCUUGUGGCUCACCUCAAAUGUGUCAGUGCACCUCUUGGUUGGACAUAGUACGGCGUGAUAAGUGUCUUCGCCGGCACCUCGCAAGAGGGUGGCCGAUCGGGAGCUCUGUGCUUUCAAACCGUCUUCGGACAAUUUCUGACAACUUGACCUCAAAUCGAGUAGGACUACCCGCUGAACUUAAGCAUAUCAAUAAGCGGAGGA